UGGGGAAUCUUGCACAAUGGGGGCAACCCUGAUGCAGCGACGCCGCGUGAGCGAUGAAGCCCUUCGGGGCGUAAAGCUCUUUCGACCGGAACGAUAAUGACGGUACCGGGAGAAGAAGCUGCGGCUAACUACGUGCCAGCAGCCGCGGUAAUACGUAGGCAGCGAGCGUUGUUCGGAGUUACUGGGCGUAAAGAGUGCGUAGGCGGUUUUCUAAGUUCGGUGUGAAAUCUCCCGGCUUAACUGGGAGGGUGCGCCGAAGACUGGGAAGCGGGAGUGUGGGAAAGGCAGGCGGAAUUCCUGGUGUAGCGGUGAAAUGCGUAGAUAUCAGGAGGAACACCGGCGGUGUAGACGGCUUGCUAGACCAUAACUGACGCUGAGGCACGAAAGCGUGGGUAGCAAACA
Molecule: ribosomal RNA, 402 nt
Filed under: uncultured bacterium
Lineage: Bacteria
Description: bacterial SSU rRNA
Rfam family: Bacterial small subunit ribosomal RNA
Source: RNAcentral